Molecule: long non-coding RNA, 428 nt
Filed under: Crocodylus porosus (Australian saltwater crocodile)
Lineage: Eukaryota; Metazoa; Chordata; Crocodylia; Crocodylidae
Description: lncRNA (ENSCPRG00005019046.1)
Source: RNAcentral
CUGGCUAGAGAUGAAAUGAGAGAUACUGAAAAACAGAAUGAAAGGUCCAUCGCACAUACUGUAGUAGAAAACAAAGUGCCAAGUUGUUGUUAGUGUCUUGAAGGGUGAAGACUUUCGGAAUCUUGAUUAAGUUAAGAUUAAGGAGUGGAAUUAUUUCUGUAUGUCUUCAGAAAGCUAGCAUUCUCCACUGCAGAAUGAAUUGCAAGACUGGCUGGAAAUCAUUUUUAAUAAAAUUUCCAUAAUGUAUCUUAUGUAAUUGAAGCUUCAGGACAUGGGGCUUGAAAUUGACUUCCGUUUACUUCCCCGAAAAUAGCUUUAGAGCACUUCUUAGUGGGUCCAAGAGGUCAGUAUUCCCAUUGCUGAUAAUCCACAAUUUUGGAGAGAUGAUCAAAGUGCAAAUGAAAAUGCUUAGAAGUCUAGAGUUGGGG